UGGGGAAUAUUGGACAAUGGGCGAAAGCCUGAUCCAGCCAUGCCGCGUGUGUGAAGAAGGUCUUCGGAUUGUAAAGCACUUUAAGUUGGGAGGAAGGGCAGUAAGUUAAUACCUUGCUGUUUGACGUUACCGACAGAAUAAGCACCGGCUAACUCUGUGCCAAGCAGCCGCGGUAAUACAGAGGGUGCAAGCGUUAAUCGGAAUUACUGGGCGUAAAGCGCGCGUAGGUGGUUUGUUAAGUUGGAUGUGAAAGCCCGGCUGCAAACCUGGGAACUGCAUCCAAAACUGGCAAGCUAGAGUACGGUAGAGGGUGGUGGAAUUCCUGUGUAGCGGUGAAAUGCGUUAGAUAUAGGAAGGAACACCAGUGGCGAAGGCGACCACCUGGACUGAUACUGACACUGAGGUGCGAAAGCGUGGGAGCAAACA
This 426-nucleotide ribosomal RNA is filed under the name uncultured Pseudomonas sp. RNAcentral's name for it is "bacterial SSU rRNA". It matches the Rfam family "Bacterial small subunit ribosomal RNA", at positions 355 to 774 of the family's 1533-position model. Lineage: Bacteria; Pseudomonadati; Pseudomonadota; Gammaproteobacteria; Pseudomonadales; Pseudomonadaceae. The record is from RNAcentral.